This is a long non-coding RNA of Hipposideros armiger (great roundleaf bat), 1837 nucleotides long. RefSeq lists it as uncharacterized. The transcript has 2 exons. The record is from RefSeq and is a predicted model, not a curated record. Lineage: Eukaryota; Metazoa; Chordata; Mammalia; Chiroptera; Hipposideridae.
CUCUAUUACAUUCAAAACCAGAGCUGCAGCUACUUGGUUUACUAAUCCCAAAGAUUAAUUCAAUAGAAGUAGGGGUUUAUUUUUACUGGUUCAUUUGCUUUAUCUUGAAAAAUAAAGUAUAGUUUGAUAGUUUGAAGUUUUUUUUGUGUGUAGUAUAAUAAAGAUUCCCAUUAUAGUACUACAUCAUAUGUAUCUAACUAUUGCAUUGUAAUAAUUUAGCAACCUGAAAAUAAUGUAAAAUAUAUUUAUACAUAUAUGUAUAUGUUCAUAUAAUAAGUAUGUUAUUUCUAGUUUCAGAAGUCAUAAAAAAGUAAAUACCCAAAGAACCCAUAGCUGUAAUAAUAAUAAUAAUAAUAAUAAUAAUAAUAAUAAUAAAGACACAACGAUUUGACCAGUGUUAAAAGGCAAGAUUAAGUAACAAUUAUUAAGGAGUUACUAUGUGAUACAGAACAUGAGUGUUAUAUUUUUAUUUAAUCAUCAAAAAGUAUAAUUGCUAGCAUUGUUAUCCACAUUUUGUGGACAAAGAAACUGGCAUUACAUGCCUUAGUAUUGGUUAACUUCCUGUGACUAAUUACAGAGCCAGGACUCAAACUCACACACUUUGGACUCUAGACCACGAGCUCUUUUGUGUUCAUCACAUCAGGCUUUGCUCUGCCCCUGGCCAGUAACAACUGUUGCUCAAUUGAUUCUUUGCGUUUAUUUCUGUAACAGAAGUGUGUUGGCCUAUCUUAACAAUCCCUAGUGUUUGAACAGUCAAUAAAUGUGUUCACCACACAUCAUUGUACUUGUUUAAUGUUCUCUAUUCAUGAUUUCAAAAUAACUAUGACUCAGUGAUGCUUUGAACUUAAUUUCAAUUUUAUUAAUUAAAACAGAUCUGAAUACACAGAAAUAUACUAGUUGUGAUAGCAUGGAAAGUUUUGUUUUAAAAAGGAAAUUAUAUCUGAAAAUGGCGCAAAGACACAUGAAGAAGGUGUGAACCACAUAUAUGUGAGUGAAAGCUGGCCUGGAGUAAACUUUAAGGGCUUUAUGCAAAAGGGCUGCUGCCUGAAAGGCAAUAGGAUCCCAACAGAGAGAGUCUGUAAAGAGAUGGAGUCCUGAGAUCCAAAUCCUAGCUAAGUGCAAGUGAAUGGGCAGAGGAGUAAAUGGCUGAAGAACCCUACAAGGAACUGAAACACCUUACAAGGGAAAACAGAGCAGGCGCCAGCUAUGACACCUGCCAAACCAGACAGCAAUGAUGGCAGCUCACAAAGUACCAUCAUGGAGGGGCUCUCCUGUGCCCUCGCCUCUCGUCCCGCCACCAUCUGGAGCCCCGCAUGGUCAGGAACAGUGCAAGUUAGCAGCUGAGGAGAGGAACAAAGACAAGUUGGGUUAAAAGAGGAGCAUCUAUCUAAACUGUACUGUACGCUGCUAGCCUGCCUUCUGUCGCACAGCUGAUUAGCUUAUAGCACAACUGAAGAGGGAGAUGCCAUCUUGCCUCCAUGAUUUGAUAAGCAUGAAGAUAAAAGGUUUCUUGUGAGGAUGAUGGAGCAAAAUGAUAGAAGAGGGGCUAGACUCCCUGCCUUCAGACUUCUGGUUGUGUGAAGAAAAUAAAAUGCUAUUACAAGGUUAAGCUACAAAUAUGGGCUUCUAUUUCAUGUACCUAAUUAUAUCACAAUUCAUACAAUAUCUAUGAAAUUGGUAAAAGUAUUCAUUUUGAAGGCUUAAUCUGAGGGACUCACAGAUAUCUAACACAAUCAAAUCUGAAAAAAAGUAUGGUCCUUUAAUUCAUUAUGAUUUUGAAAUUGAUCUUUCACAGUCUUUUAGUUAUCACAUUAUUAAAUAUAUUUGAACAUUCAAA